RNAcentral lists this ribosomal RNA (1491 nucleotides) under metagenome. RNAcentral's name for it is "bacterial SSU rRNA". It matches the Rfam family "Bacterial small subunit ribosomal RNA". The record is from RNAcentral.
AGAGUUUGAUCCUGGCUCAGAUUGAACGCUGGCGGCAUGCCUUACACAUGCAAGUCGAACGGUAACAGGGAGCUUGCUCUGCUGACGAGUGGCGAACGGGUGAGUAAUAUAUCGGAACGUGCCCUGGAGUGGGGGAUAACUAGUCGAAAGAUUAGCUAAUACCGCAUACGAUCUCAGGAUGAAAGUGGGGGAUUCGCAAGGACCUCAUGCUCGUGGAGCGGCCGAUAUCUGAUUAGCUAGUUGGUAGGGUAAAAGCCUACCAAGGCAUCGAUCAGUAGCUGGUCUGAGAGGACGACCAGCCACACUGGGACUGGGACACGGCCCAGACUCCUACGGGAGGCAGCAGUGGGGAAUUUUGGACAAUGGGCGCAAGCCUGAUCCAGCAAUGCCGCGUGAGUGAAGAAGGCCUUCGGGUUGUAAAGCUCUUUUGUCAGGGAAGAAACGGUUUGGCUUAAUACGCUGAGCUAAUGACGGUACCUGAAGAAUAAGCACCGGCUAACUACGUGCCAGCAGCCGCGGUAAUACGUAGGGUGCAAGCGUUAAUCGGAAUUACUGGGCGUAAAGCGUACGCAGGCGGUUAUGUAAGACAGAUGUGAAAUGCCCGGGCUUAACCUGGGAACUGCAUUUGUGACUGCAUGGCUAGAGUGUGUCAGAGGGGGGUAGAAUUCCACGUGUAGCAGUGAAAUGCGUAGAUAUGUGGAGGAAUACCGAUGGCGAAGGCAGCCCCCUGGGAUAACACUGACGCUCAUGCACGAAAGCGUGGGGAGCAAACAGGAUUAGAUACCCUGGUAGUCCACGCCCUAAACGAUGUCUACUAGUUGUCGGGUCUUAAUUGACUUGGUAACGCAGCUAACGCGUGAAGUAGACCGCCUGGGGAGUACGGUCGCAAGAUUAAAACUCAAAGGAAUUGACGGGGACCCGCACAAGCGGUGGAUGAUGUGGAUUAAUUCGAUGCAACGCGAAAAACCUUACCUACCCUUGACAUGUCAGAGAGCUCGAAGAGAUUUGAGUGUGCUCGAAAGAGAAUCUGAACACAGGUGCUGCAUGGCUGUCGUCAGCUCGUGUCGUGAGAUGUUGGGUUAAGUCCCGCAACGAGCGCAACCCUUGUCAUUAGUUGCUACGAAAGGGCACUCUAAUGAGACUGCCGGUGACAAACCGGAGGAAGGUGGGGAUGACGUCAAGUCCUCAUGGCCCUUAUGGGUAGGGCUUCACACGUCAUACAAUGGUACAUACAGAGGGCUGCCAACCCGCGAGGGGGAGCUAAUCCCAGAAAGUGUAUCGUAGUCCGGAUUGGAGUCUGCAACUCGACUCCAUGAAGUUGGAAUCGCUAGUAAUCGCGGAUCAGCAUGUCGCGGUGAAUACGUUCCCGGGUCUUGUACACACCGCCCGUCACACCAUGGGAGCGGGUUUUACCAGAAGUAGGUAGCCUAACCGCAAGGAGGGCGCUUACCACGGUAGGAUUCGUGACUGGGGUGAAGUCGUAACAAGGUA